This 71-nucleotide ribosomal RNA is filed under the name Metabacillus litoralis. RNAcentral's name for it is "Bacillus litoralis partial 23S ribosomal RNA". The record is from RNAcentral. Lineage: Bacteria; Bacillati; Bacillota; Bacilli; Caryophanales; Bacillaceae.
GAUAGGUCUGAGGUGGAAGCGCGGUGACGUGUGGAGCUGACAGAUACUAAUCGAUCGAGGACUUAACCUAA